This 856-nucleotide ribosomal RNA is filed under the name Xanthoparmelia stenophylla. RNAcentral describes it as "eukaryotic LSU rRNA". It matches the Rfam family "Eukaryotic large subunit ribosomal RNA", at positions 71 to 942 of the family's 3401-position model. RNAcentral also lists the same sequence under 1 other name. Lineage: Eukaryota; Fungi; Ascomycota; Lecanoromycetes; Lecanorales; Parmeliaceae. The record is from RNAcentral.
GGGAUUGCCUCAGUAACGGCGAGUGAAGCGGCAACAGCUCAAAUUUGAAAUCUGGCUCCUUCGGGGUCCGAAUUGUAAUUUGUAGAGAGUGCUUCGGGCGAGACCUCGGUCUAAGUCCAUUGGAACAUGGUGUCAUAGAGGGUGAGAAUCCCGUAUGCGACCGUGGCUCGAGCCCAUGUGAAGCCUCUUCGACGAGUCGAGUUGUUUGGGAAUGCAGCUCAAAAUGGGUGGUAAAUUUCAUCUAAAGCUAAAUACUGGCUGGAGACCGAUAGCGCACAAGUAGAGUGAUCGAAAGAUGAAAAGCACUUUGGAAAGAGAGUCAAACAGUACGUGAAAUUGUUGAAAGGGAAGCGCUUGCAACCAGACCUGCCCGUAGGCGAUCAGCCGCUGUUCUCAGCGGUGUACUCGCUCUGCGAUCAGGCCAGCAUCGGUUUCGGCGGUCGGAUAAAGGCCUUGGGAAUGUAGCUUCCCUUCGGGGGAGUCUUAUAGCCCUCGGUGUAAUGCGGCCAGCUGGGACCGAGGACCGCGCUUCGGCUAGGAUGCUGGCGUAAUGGUUGUAAGCGACCCGUCUUGAAACACGGACCAAGGAGUCUAACAUCUAUGCGAGUGUUUGGGUGUCAAACCCAUACGCGGAAUGAAAGUGAACGGAGGUGAGAACCCUUAAGGGCGCAUCAUCGACCGAUCCAGAUGUCUUCGGAUGGAUUUGAGUAUGAGCAUAGCUGUUGGGACCCGAAAGAUGGUGAACUAUGCCUGAAUAGGGUGAAGCCAGAGGAAACUCUGGUGGAGGCUCGCAGCGGUUCUGACGUGCAAAUCGAUCGUCAAAUUUGGGUAUAGGGGCGAAAGACUAAUCGAACCA